AGAAUCUUCCACAAUGGGCGAAAGCCUGAUGGAGCAACGCCGCGUGUGUGAUGAAGGGUUUCGGCUCGUAAAACACUGUUGUAAGAGAAGAAUGACAUUGAGAGUAACUGUUCAAUGUGUGACGGUAUCUUACCAGAAAGGAACGGCUAAAUACGUGCCAC
This 161-nucleotide ribosomal RNA is filed under the name uncultured bacterium. Its description in RNAcentral is "partial 16S rRNA". It matches the Rfam family "Bacterial small subunit ribosomal RNA", at positions 358 to 511 of the family's 1533-position model. The record is from RNAcentral.